This 829-nucleotide long non-coding RNA is filed under the name Homo sapiens (human). RNAcentral describes it as "MIR4307 host gene". Lineage: Eukaryota; Metazoa; Chordata; Mammalia; Primates; Hominidae. The record is from RNAcentral.
AGAGUCCACAUAUGUUCGGGGGAGGGACCCCAGAAGGCGGCUGACAGUAUUCCUUUAGCCAGAAAUCCCUUCAGGGAAGAGAAAGGUGCUCCCCUUUGCCUGCUUUUAUACUACAGACUGUUUCCAACUCCAGCUAGAAGUGACUAUUGCCGAUUAUGCUAAUCAGUGGCGACAAGCUCCCUUUGACUGCUCACUUCUCCAGUGAGGCUUCAAGCUUCUAGGCAUCAAGAUUAUAUUUUCCAGAAAAUAUUUCAAGCAGAAUAUACUUAUUUUCCAGUUUUGAAAACAACUAGAUUGCCCAUCUCCAUUUCUCUCUAUCAUCUACUGUAUUAUUCUAUGGACAACUGCCACCCUAAUAAGCUCAAAGGAAACCAUGAGAGACUGUCUAACUAGACUUUUUGCUUGAUUUCCUGGACCCAAGAGCAGGAGUGAGGAGCUUUCUCCUGGUCAAGAAGGGAAGCCAGAAGUCAAGGCCACAGAAGACACAGGAAACAUCAUUUCCAAAGUGGGAGACAAAGCUGUUAACAGGAAAUUAUUUGUAAAGUCAAGAGCCAAGCAAAACAGAAAAAGGACAAGAAAUCUAUCACCUGUGGGUAUGAAUGGUUCUAGGGAAGUCUGUUGACAAUUGGAGGGUCUCAAAGGCGCUUUAUGGUACUUAUUUUAUGACCCUGAGUCUGGAGUCUGAUGAAUUAAAGAGGAAAUUCUGCUCUGGGCAACAUUUAAGAGAUAGUAUCUCCAGGCAGUAACUUUCGUAUUAACUCUCAUAAGAUUGAUGCCAUUCUGUCAUCUAAAGUGUGGACAAAAGUAGCAUUAAAGCAAAAUGAAAGGA